RNAcentral lists this ribosomal RNA (1372 nucleotides) under uncultured bacterium. RNAcentral's name for it is "partial 16S ribosomal RNA". It matches the Rfam family "Bacterial small subunit ribosomal RNA", at positions 28 to 1391 of the family's 1533-position model. The record is from RNAcentral.
GAUGAACGCUAGCGGCAGGCCUAACACAUGCAAGUCGAGGGGUAUAAGGAGCUUGCUCCUUAGAGACCGGCGCACGGGUGCGUAACGCGUAUGCAAUCUACCUUGUACAGAGGGAUAGCCCAGAGAAAUUUGGAUUAAUACCUCAUAGUAUUAUAGAAUGGCAUCAUUUUAUAAUUAAAGUUCCAACGGUACAAGAUGAGCAUGCGUCCCAUUAGUUAGUUGGUGUGGUAACGGCACACCAAGACGAUGAUGGGUAGGGGUCCUGAGAGGGAGAUCCCCCACACUGGUACUGAGACACGGACCAGACUCCUACGGGAGGCAGCAGUGAGGAAUAUUGGUCAAUGGAGGCAACUCUGAACCAGCCAUGCCGCGUGCAGGAAGAAGGUUCUAUGGAUCGUAAACUGCUUUUGUACAGGAAGAAAUUAUCCCUCGUGAGGGAGCUUGACAGUACUGUAAGAAUAAGGAUCGGCUAACUCCGUGCCAGCAGCCGCGGUAAUACGGAGGAUUCAAGCGUUAUCCGGAAUCAUUGGGUUUAAAGGGUUCGUAGGCGGAUUAGUAAGUCAGGGGUGAAAGUUUGCGGCUUAACCGUAAAAUUGCCUUUGAUACUGCUAGUCUUGAAUAUUUGUGAAGUAGCUAGAAUAUGUAGUGUAGCGGUGAAAUGCUUAGAUAUUACAUGGAAUACCGAUUGCGAAGGCAGGUUACUAACAAAUUAUUGACGCUGAUGAACGAAAGCGUGGGGAGCGAACAGGAUUAGAUACCCUGGUAGUCCACGCCGUAAACGAUGGAUGCUAGCUGUUAGAAGUAUCGACCCUUCUAGUAGCGAAGCUAACGCGUUAAGCAUCCCGCCUGUGGAGUACGGCCGCAAGGCUAAAACAUAAAGGAAUUGACGGGGGCCCGCACAAGCGGCGGAGCAUGUUGCUUAAUUCGACGCAACGCGAAGAACCUUACCAAGGCUUGACAUCGCCGGAAAUCCCGCAGAGAUGCGGGGUCCUUUUUGGGCCGGUGACAGGUGGUGCAUGGCUGUCGUCAGCUCGUGUCGUGAGAUGUUGGGUUAAGUCCCGCAACGAGCGCAACCCUCGUUCCAUGUUGCCAGCAACACUUUCGGGUGGUUGGGGACUCAUGGGAGACCGCCGGGGUCAACUCGGAGGAAGGUGGGGAUGACGUCAAGUCAUCAUGCCCCUUAUGUCUUGGGCUGCAAACAUGCUACAAUGGCCGGUACAGUGGGCUGCGAUACCGUGAGGUGGAGCGAAUCCCUUAAAGCCGGUCUCAGUUCGGAUCGAAGUCUGCAACUCGACUUCGUGAAGUCGGAGUCGCUAGUAAUCGCAGAUCAGCAACGCUGCGGUGAAUACGUUCCCCGGGCCUUGUACACACC